RNAcentral lists this long non-coding RNA (656 nucleotides) under Homo sapiens (human). RNAcentral's name for it is "long non-coding RNA NONHSAT216772.1". The record is from RNAcentral. Lineage: Eukaryota; Metazoa; Chordata; Mammalia; Primates; Hominidae.
GUGUGAGAAAUGGAGACAGAGGGAUUGGAGAGAUGAAGAUGGGGGAUCCGUGGUCUCUGAAGCCCCCAAUGCUUGUGUGAGGGUGAGAGCUCAACAGGAAGACCAUCAUAUUGGACUAGAACCUACCCUAAUAAUCCCAAUGAAACUUAAUGACUUCUUUGAAGGCCCUAUCUCCAUAUAAAGUCAUAUUCUAAGGUUCAGAAAUCCUAAGGAACCCAAGCAAGAUUUUUUACAAAGAAAGAAGUGUUCACCCAGAUACAGCCUAAUGAUACUUCAAAGAGACAGAUUGCUUACAAAGGAAUGACAAUGAAAUUGACUUCUUGAUAGCAUCCAUAGAAACUAUAGGUUUGCUUUUUCCAGUGAAGCUUUCUACCAGAAAAAAGGCAAAGAAGAUGGUUUUUCUGAUAAAGUCCCAUGAGAAUGCUCUGAUGACACUGGAAAAGCUUUCUUUCAUUCAUCCACCCACUGGUGACUUGGAAAAUAGCCUCUUCACCUUCAAAUGAGAGAAUAAUGCUGAAUUUUUCUGAAUUUCUAAGACGGGAAGUGAUGUAUCACUAAAACGGUGAGCUCUCACUGAAACAGGAAAUCUUCUACCAGUGUGGGUCUGAGUUGAUCUCUCCCUCCCUCCCUCCAACCAUCCAAUAAAUAUUUCAUUU